ACCUCUACUUUUAGGUAAAUCAUAACUGAAGAACAAUCAUCAAAUCUAACCCUUUGCGGUUUAUUUCGAAGCAUAUACUCUGCAUACUCGCGGAUACCUGAUGGACGAGUUGGAACGUACGUACUACUAAGGUAAGGCACUUUUGGAGUGAUUCCUUCUCACGCAAUCAGCAACAAAGAAAACCGAUUUUAGAUCUAUAUGAAACCGCUAAUAAAUACAUCCCUUAAUGCUUAAGAAAUGCCUGAUUUGUUAGAAAACUCUCACAUCCAAAUACUUGAAAAUCGCAGCUACUUCAUGAGAAAUCAAACACGUGUUGUAAUACUUUUUCGAGAGAAACUUUCAGUAACCGGUGUUUCUUUUCGGAUUUCAGACUGAUGAAAGCCAGCAUUUUAUUUCACACCGCUAAUUUUACGGGAGAUUGUAAUAUAUCAAUUGCUGUCCACGAUGGAGAGUGAAUAUCUUUGUGAUUUUUCUUAACACGGAAACAGCCGCCAUGUUGGUUUGCACAAUCAUUUUGAAAUAAUCCUUGUUACUUGAUUCACAUCUGCUGAAAAUAACCUCUUAAGUAAAAGAGAGAUAGACUAUGCUAUUUCUUAUCUUGGUUAGUUUUCUAGUACAUUUCUAUCCGUUCAACGUCUUUUAAUGGAUGUUAAUUUCACUUGAAGCGCGCGAACAACUCAGCUUUAGCACAACUCGCUCAAGAAGCGCUCAUUAAGCAGCAAGUUACCGAACUAGUCUGUUUGUAUAUUAAUACUGAGCGAGCAUUUUUAUUAGGGAAUUGGUAAGCUUAAAUAAAGAUUCAUUCCACAUAGUGAAUUGUGAAAGUUAUUUAUGUUUUGUAUCGAGAAACCGAAAAACCGUUAACAGUAACUGAACUCAGCGUUUGAGAACAUGCGCGUCUAAACCAAUUGGCGCCUUUUGCCCUACGCACGCAUUGAAUCACAUCAGGGACUUAGUCGUUCGUUUACUCGACACGGAGGAAAACAAUCAGGUCAGAAAAUCAAAACUUAAGACGGACGUCUAUCCUUGUAAUUGCUAUUGCACGCAGACUAUUUCGAACUGGUUUCUAAAAGAUAGAUUACGUAGCUCCACGUUGGUGAUUGCAAAUACACAGACUAGAAGUUUAUUUAUCUUGCUCUAUGUAUCUUAAAGGUUUUUAAAACUCAUAUUGCCAAUUUGCAUUGGUAGUUGAUUGUGAUGUUUUAGAAACGACAAGAAUAUCCUUGAAUGCAUAUUCGGGAACCGUUUUUACAAGCAUAAUAUUCCCCUGCAUGUUUAAAAUGUCCCUUUUAAACUUUCUAAACUGUAUUGCAGGGCAGUUAAACAGAUGCAUAGGUAAAUAAGCUGGCUUAUCACCCAAAUUAAACCAAAACCUAAUGAAAAUUUUAUUUGAUCCAACAGUUAUGCCCAACUCCUUAUUAAAACACACUCAAGGAACUUCUGUUCAAAGUCUAAGGGUUGAUUUUCCCUGUCAUUAGGCUGACUAAAAGAUGGUUAAGGCUCCAUUCUGAUCACUGAGUGAUCGAGUCUUCUAGAACAUCCUAAUGUAACAGCACAACCCAGAACGGAAAAAACGUGUCAAAAAUCUUCUUGGAUUUCAAUGUCUUGAAGAGUAACAGGCAUUUAAUUGUGCCAGCAGCAAGUCAGCCACCACAUACACAUCUAUUGUAUUUACUCCUUCAGGGAUACAACAUAUGUCAAAGAACUUUUAGCACCCUGUGAAGUCUCUCCAACAGAACCAACAGAACAGCUAUGAACGGUCAACAAAGUUUCGAUUUUCAUGUAUGGACGUAAAAGUUAGGAUCACUUUGUACAGCAAACUACUACUGCUCAGAAGUUUUCAUUUGGAUGUUUACACUUCAAAGUUUCAGAGAGUAUUGAUCAGUAGUUUUCAUUUGAAUAGUCACACUACGGGGUUUUAUCCUCAGAACUCAAAGGUAUAACUACUUUGCAAAAUAGAAUGAAGAAAAAGCCUCAUGAAAAUACUUCUUAGUAGCUCUCAUAUAGGCGGACACUUAUUAGAGUUUUUAAUUGUCACUUAUUAGAGUUAUGUCCUCAGACUAAAAAAGAUCUUGCCUUGCAGAUCAUGAUUAGCAGUACCAAAAGAACGUUUUGUUCCAUCUUUUGACACAAGCUCCCAAAGGCAGAGAGGAUAUAAUUUUUUAACACUCUUUAGUAAGACUUUGAGUACAGACUGAGGUUUAAAAUAAAAUUGGAAAGGGACCAAUGUAAAUCACACAGAAACGAAAUUAGGGAAAAACCCAGAAACCAUAUUAACAAAAAAAGCAUUACAGUUGUACUUCGAGAUGACAAUGCAAUGUAUUGGGAUUCUCCCAUUGUAAAGGGGUUUCUUUUAUUCGAAAGGAAAGGAAAAAUAGCACUUAGCUCAUGCAAAAAUACCCCAACGCUUGAAGAUUUCAUACUCACAACUUUAAUAAAUAGUAACAGAGAUAUCACCAGGCAAUCAAACGUACUCACAGAGAUACACAGACCAUUUCGGUGGCGGUGCUACACCAAGCAAAAAGAUCAUGGAAAAUGCAUCGAAUGAAAAAUCAGCACAGAGUUCAGGAGCCAGCGAAGGUCGGAAAUCAACGCCUUAUCAGCGAAUAGUGAUCGCCUGCCCUGAAAAUCACAUUAUCGUGGUGAAGAGAUUUUCGAACGGAGAAGUUAGAGUCGAAGGAGGACGACUGGUCGCUGUUGAAGACAAGAAAGGCCGCUAGAUGAGAGAGUGUUUCAAGAGCUUCAAGAAUGAUCUGUGGACCUUGUGCACGUGAAACGGUUUUGGAAGUCAGUGAAUCACUCGAAGAAAGAAAGCACUGGAUACUGUUAGCAAGUUUUAGGACUGAGUGUUUGUAAAAAUAAGAUAAUUUCGCAGUAAUGAAAGAGAUUAAUCGCUAAAAGGAAUUAAUCUUUUAGAUUUUGUCGUUAAAGUCUUGUAAAUCGAAUGAACUGUCGGCUUUUUACAUAAAUGCGUCUUGCGUGCAAGAGGAAGGAUCGCUCUUCAUCAAUAAAGCUUAUCACUGUAUGAAAAACAGGAUUGGAUUAA
RNAcentral lists this long non-coding RNA (3046 nucleotides) under Pocillopora damicornis (cauliflower coral). RNAcentral's name for it is "uncharacterized LOC113666218". The record is from RNAcentral. Lineage: Eukaryota; Metazoa; Cnidaria; Anthozoa; Scleractinia; Pocilloporidae.